This is a non-coding RNA of Acanthosepion pharaonis, 108 nucleotides long. Lineage: Eukaryota; Metazoa; Mollusca; Cephalopoda; Sepiida; Sepiidae. The record is from the annotation of a GenBank genome assembly.
UACGGCUGUAUCACAUUGAAACACUGAUUCCCGUACGAUCACCAAGGUUAAGCAACAUAGAACCUGGCCAGUACCUAGAUGGGUGACCGCUUGUGAAUACCAAGUGCU